RNAcentral lists this long non-coding RNA (357 nucleotides) under Gossypium barbadense (sea-island cotton). RNAcentral's name for it is "long non-coding RNA (GBAR_LNC023075)". Lineage: Eukaryota; Viridiplantae; Streptophyta; Magnoliopsida; Malvales; Malvaceae. The record is from RNAcentral.
GACUAGGGUUUUGAAAGGAGGAAGAAGAUGAGUAGUGUUUUGUUUAUAUAGGGGAGGGGCACAGGCCUAGGGCCACGCCCGUGUGCUGUGAGGGUAGCCCGUGUUUUUCAAAUUUUUUCAAAUGUGGUCGUGCCCGGCUACUAUCAAAUGCCAGUUUGUCUUGGGCAUGUGUGGCACACAGACAUGUCGCACAGUCGUGCCUCGCGUUGUUCGCUUCUCCCGCGCCCAUGUGGUAUGGUAACACACCCGUGUAUUGUUGUACACGACUGAAUGGCACAGGCGUUUCGCAUUCCCGUGUCAAAGAAACAGAAUCGAGCCUUGUCCCUGGCACGCCCAUGGUUUUCUAUCCCACGCCCG